GGGGGCGUAAAGGUUUCGACGGGGUUUUUGAAACAGGACAAGCGGGCAGAGUCGCAGAGCUCUUAAAAACUGUACCUUAAACAAUAAACGCUAACAACGAUUUAGCAGUCGCUGCCUGACACAGGCGGCCAUCCUCCCGGGAAGGACUGCGGUCCCGGAAAGGGUGUCACUUCAGCAGUGAACGCAUUCGGUCAAAGCUUUGAGACCGUCUGUGUAUUCAUGAAGCUACCGAACGGAUAGGCCGUUGACGGCCGCUCCGCGAGGGAAUCCAAACCGUCAACUGCGCCCGGAGAAAGUUCUGCGGACAGGAUUUCGGACACGGGUUCGACUCCCGUCGCCUCCACCA
RNAcentral lists this transfer-messenger RNA (346 nucleotides) under bovine gut metagenome. It matches the Rfam family "transfer-messenger RNA". Rfam says of the family: Bacterial tmRNA, also known as 10Sa RNA or SsrA, is named for its dual tRNA and mRNA-like properties. Its role is to liberate the mRNA from a stalled ribosome. To accomplish this part of the tmRNA is used as a reading frame that ends in a translation stop signal. The record is from RNAcentral.